Long non-coding RNA from Drosophila ananassae, 216 nucleotides. RefSeq lists it as uncharacterized. The transcript is spliced from 2 exons. NCBI's taxonomy places the organism in Eukaryota, Metazoa, Arthropoda, Insecta, Diptera, Drosophilidae. The record is from RefSeq and is a predicted model, not a curated record.
AUGGUACUUGUUUAUGGGUCCUUUUGCCAAAGCCAAAUAGAAGUGUUCGCCUAUCGUAAUAAUAAGAUGUUUUUCCACAUCUGGCGAGGAGAGACAGAACCAGCAUUUCUCUGAAAAGAAAAAUCCAUGUCGUAGAAGUACUGCCGACUUUCAGACUAUAAUAAGGCUAUUUAUAUGACUUGCAAUAUAUAUGAAAUAUAGUUACUUACUGAUUCA